UAUGUACUCCCUCCGUUCGAAAAUACUUGUCAUCAUAAUGGAUGAAAAUGGAUGUAUCUACAACUAAAAUACAUCUAGAUACAUCCAUUUCAAUGACAAGUAUUUCCGGACGGAGGGAGUAUGAC
This is a non-coding RNA of Triticum aestivum (bread wheat), 125 nucleotides long. NCBI's taxonomy places the organism in Eukaryota, Viridiplantae, Streptophyta, Magnoliopsida, Poales, Poaceae. The record is from Rfam.